GACGAACGCUGGCGGCGUGCUUAACACAUGCAAGUCGAGCGGAAAGGCCCUUCGGGGUACUCGAGCGGCGAACGGGUGAGUAACACGUGAGCAACCUGCCCUUAGCUUUGGGAUAACCCUCGGAAACGGGGGCUAAUACCGAAUAUUCACUGCUGGACGCAUGUUUGGUGGUGGAAAGUUUUUCGGCUAGGGAUGGGCUCGCGGCCUAUCAGCUUGUUGGUGGGGUGAUGGCCUACCAAGGCGACGACGGGUAGCCGGCCUGAGAGGGCGACCGGCCACACUGGGACUGAGACACGGCCCAGACUCCUACGGGUGGCAG
This 319-nucleotide ribosomal RNA is filed under the name uncultured Actinomycetes bacterium. Its description in RNAcentral is "bacterial SSU rRNA". It matches the Rfam family "Bacterial small subunit ribosomal RNA", at positions 28 to 351 of the family's 1533-position model. The record is from RNAcentral. Lineage: Bacteria; Bacillati; Actinomycetota; Actinomycetes.